RNAcentral lists this ribosomal RNA (826 nucleotides) under uncultured organism. RNAcentral's name for it is "bacterial SSU rRNA". It matches the Rfam family "Bacterial small subunit ribosomal RNA", at positions 54 to 875 of the family's 1533-position model. The record is from RNAcentral.
CAUGCAAGUCGAGGGGAUACAGUCCCGCUUCGGCGGGAGCUGACGACCGGCGCACGGGUGAGUAACGCGUAUGCAACUUUCCUGUAACUGGAGGAUAGCCCCUGGAAACGGGGAUUAAUACUGCGUAAUACCUAAAUACCGCAUGGUAUUAAGGUCAAAUCUACGGAGGUUACAGAUGGGCAUGCGUGCCAUUAGCUAGAUGGUAAGGUAACGGCUUACCAUGGCAAUGAUGGCUAGGGGUUCUGCAAGGAAGGCCCCCCACACUGGUACUGAGACACGGACCAGACUCCUACGGGAGGCAGCAGUGAGGAAUAUUGGUCAAUGGAGGCAACUCUGAACCAGCCAAGCCGCGUGAAGGAAGACUGUCCUAUGGAUUGUAAACUUCUUUUGUGGCAGAAUAAACUACCGUACUUGUACGGUAUUGCAUGUAUGCCAUGAAUAAGCAUCGGCUAACUCCGUGCCAGCAGCCGCGGUAAUACGGAGGAUGCAGGCGUUAUCCGGAUUUAUUAGGUUUAAAGGGUGUUCAGGCUGCCUGGUAAGUCAGGGGUGAAAGUCGGUUGCUCAACGAUCGAAUUGCCUUUGAAACUGUCAGGCUCGAGUAUGGAUGCGGUAGGCGGAAUGUGUAGUGUAGCGGUGAAAUGCAUAGAUCUUACACAGAACACCGAUUGCGAAGGCAGCUUACCAAACCAGCACUGACGCUGAAGCACGAAAGCGUGGGGAGCGAACAGGAUUAGAUACCCUGGUAGUCCACGCCGUAAACUUUGCUCACUCGCUGUUGGCGAUAGACAGUCAGCGGCCAAGGGAAACCGGAUAAGUGAGCCACCUG